AACCGGUGCUAAUACCGAAUAGUUUGCGACCUCUCAUGAAGAUGUACGGAAAGACGGUUUCGGCUGUCACUGCAGGAUGGGCCCGCGGCGCAUUAGCUAGUUGGUGGGGUAACGGCCCACCAAGGCGACGAUGCGUAGCCGACCUGAGAGGGUGAUCGGCCACACUGGGACUGAGACACGGCCCAGACUCCUACGGGAGGCAGCAGUAGGGAAUCUUCCGCAAUGGACGAAAGUCUGACGGAGCAACGCCGCGUGAGUGAAGAAGGUUUUCGGAUCGUAAAACUCUGUUGUGAGGGAAGAACAAGUACCAAGUAACUACUGGUACCUUGACGGUACCUCACCAGAAAGCCACGGCUAACUACGUGCCAGCAGCCGCGGUAAUACGUAGGUGGCAAGCGUUGUCCGGAAUUAUUGGGCGUAAAGCGCGCGCAGGCGGUCCUUUAAGUCUGAUGUGAAAGCCCACGGCUCAACCGUGGAGGGUCAUUGGAAACUGGGGGACUUGAGUGCAGAAGAGGAAAGUGGAAUUCCACGUGUAGCGG
This 539-nucleotide ribosomal RNA is filed under the name uncultured bacterium. Its description in RNAcentral is "bacterial SSU rRNA". It matches the Rfam family "Bacterial small subunit ribosomal RNA", at positions 155 to 681 of the family's 1533-position model. The record is from RNAcentral.